UGCAUCUCAUUCCACUACGUACAUUUAUUCAUCUCAAUGUCACAGCUCACUGUCUCGGCGUCACAGCUCACU
Molecule: non-coding RNA, 72 nt
Organism: Pangasianodon gigas (Mekong giant catfish)
Lineage: Eukaryota; Metazoa; Chordata; Actinopteri; Siluriformes; Pangasiidae
Source: the annotation of a GenBank genome assembly